This 385-nucleotide ribosomal RNA is filed under the name Exophiala dermatitidis. RNAcentral describes it as "eukaryotic LSU rRNA". The stretch from base 127 to 385 matches the Rfam family "Eukaryotic large subunit ribosomal RNA", at positions 1 to 258 of the family's 3401-position model. Lineage: Eukaryota; Fungi; Ascomycota; Eurotiomycetes; Chaetothyriales; Herpotrichiellaceae. The record is from RNAcentral.
GGUUGGACCCCCGGUACACGGAGCUUCUUCACUGAGCACGUAUCGGUUUCAAGGUGUCCCCGGGACCCGGUCGACCUCUCUUGCUCCCCUGCGGGAGUGGGAGAGAACCCCCCUUUUUAUCAAGGUUGACCUCGGAUCAGGUAGGAAUACCCGCUGAACUUAAGCAUAUCAAUAAGCGGAGGAAAAGAAACCAACAGGGAUUGCCUCAGUAACGGCGAGUGAAGCGGCAACAGCUCAAAUUUGAAAUCUGGCCUCUUUGGGGUCCGAGUUGUAAUUUGUAGAGGAUGUUUCGGGCACCGCUCCGGUUUAAAUUUCUUGGAACAGAAUGUCAAAGAGGGUGAGAACCCCGUCUUGGACCGGCAGUAGGGCCCAUGUGAACUCCUUC